RNAcentral lists this non-coding RNA (76 nucleotides) under Nostocoides japonicum. Its description in RNAcentral is "Tetrasphaera japonica Fluoride sequence". It matches the Rfam family "Fluoride riboswitch aptamer (crcB RNA motif)". RNAcentral also lists the same sequence under 1 other name. The record is from RNAcentral. Lineage: Bacteria; Bacillati; Actinomycetota; Actinomycetes; Micrococcales; Intrasporangiaceae.
GUGGGCCCCGGCGAUGGAUCCCGCCAGGACGCGCAGCGUCCGAACUGCCGCCCCGGCUGAUGGCUCCUGCUCCGUC